This 580-nucleotide small RNA is filed under the name Pan troglodytes (chimpanzee). RNAcentral's name for it is "retained intron". The record is from RNAcentral. Lineage: Eukaryota; Metazoa; Chordata; Mammalia; Primates; Hominidae.
UAUAUUUUCUUUUUCAAUGAGUGUGUGUAUUUUGAUCUCUUAGAUCGCAGAAGAAGAUGGCAAAUUCCUCCCCCGUUUUGUCCAAAGUCCCUGGAUAUGGCUUACAGGUCAGGAACUCUGACCGUAACCAGGGUCUUCAGGGUCCUCUGACAGCAGAGCAAAAGAGAGGGCAUGGGAUGAAGAACCAUUCCAGAUCCAGAAGCUCCUCCCACUCACCCCCAAGACAUGCCAGCAAGAAGAGCACCAGGGAAGCAGGGUCCCGGGACAGGAGGUCUCGAUCCCUGGGCAGAAGGUCACGGUCCCCAAGACCCAGCAAACUGUGAGUGUGGGAUUCACUGGGAAAUAACCUGUGACUGUGGGGGCCUGGUCCCAGCAGGCAUUUGUUUUUGCUUUUGGUGAUGUCCGUCCAUUGACUUUCCCAAAUGUCUUUGCUUUGGUAUUUCCUUUACAUCAUUUUUUUUUCCACCUCAAUGUAAAGCUCAGGCAUCCAAAGCCACAUAUCUGUAGGUGUAUUCUGUGCUUUGGGAGCUCUGGGGUGAGUCUAACAUCAAACCCUAUACCUUUGUUUUUCUCACACUUA